GCAUGGUGAAUUUAAAUAUUUAAAUUAUAGAAGCAUGUUGUUUUUCUCCUAAUUGUACACCAAAUCAUUAGCCUACUGUUAUGAAAUAAACCUAGCAGAAUCCCUCUAUGCAUCAGGGACAAGUUAAUGUUUCAAAGACUCGAUGCAGUUCCAUUUCCACACACAAAACCGAUGUACUCUUACAACAGAACAAGCUUCAUUUUUGUUUCUUCAAUAAUCAGAUAAACAAACCAUAGCAACAGAUUAUAAACUCAAGAAAAAACAAAACAAUCUCUGGUAGAGAAUGGUAUUUGUGUUCCUAAACUUGACAUUCACUAAAUAAAAUCGAAGAAAUGCACACAGUUUAAAAGAAAGAAAAGAAUCGAGACUAAAAAAUACCAUCAAUAUAUAUGUUACAUUUUAGCCAAAAGAAUAAAUUAAUGACACGAAUACUAUUAUGUUGGUACAACCAAAACAAAAGUAUAAGCAUAUAUAUCAAGACAAUAAUUAUGAUCAUGUGCCUCAAAAUUCACUACUGUAAACAUAAUAGUUCAAAUUGCUUCUCAUUCAACCAUCCUUGCUUUCAGUUCCUCAUGUGGGUACAUUGUGAAUAAAAUCACAAAUGUCUAAGCAUGAAGGAAUAUAAGCAAUCAUGCAUAAGAAAUGGGAAGAUUCCUUUAAAAAAAUAAAAUACUAAUUCCAUAUACUUUAAUCUGCCCUAAAAAUGAACUAUCCAAAUCCAUCUUAACUGCCUGUAGAAUCAGGUCUGCUUUGUUUAAAGCCAGAUCCUCUUUAGAAGAAUGACAACACCAAAAAAUCAACUACUAACAACAGUUUUUAAGUUCCACCACAUUAGAGAUGAACUGCUUGAUGUGGCACUUAAGCCUAGAGGUUCUCCCACCUGAUGAUCUAGUUUUUUGGAUUGGAUUAUCUUCUUGUGUUUAAGUCCUAACAAUUAGUGGUUUGACAUGAUACUUAAGACAGGAGGUUCUCCCACUUAAUUUUCUAGUUUUGUAGGUUGGACUCUCCUUUUAUGCUUAAGUCCUAACAAUUGAUUUUUCAUUGAGAGUUGGACAACAGAAAGGACUACCUAUAGGUUGGGAUCAAGAUGCAAACUGAAUACUGGUAGAUGAGUGAAACCAUCUCAGAGAGAAAAUGGCUACCACUCAGUCAGUGUUGAUAAAGUGAAGUUGUCGUGGAUGUCAGUGUUAAAGGAGGACCAUUUUGGGUAGAAUAAGCUACUAGGUGAGAUACUUAAGCAAUUGUGCCC
RNAcentral lists this long non-coding RNA (1249 nucleotides) under Phaseolus vulgaris (common bean). Its description in RNAcentral is "long non-coding RNA (PVUL_LNC000038)". The record is from RNAcentral. Lineage: Eukaryota; Viridiplantae; Streptophyta; Magnoliopsida; Fabales; Fabaceae.